ACACUCCUGCGGGAGGCAGCAGUGGGGAAUAUUGGACAAUGGGCGCAAGCCUGAUCCAGCCAUGCCGCGUGAGUGAUGAAGGCCCUAGGGUUGUAAAGCUCUUUCACCGGUGAAGAUAAUGACGGUAACCGGAGAAGAAGCCCCGGCUAACUUCGUGCCAGCAGCCGCGGUAAUACGAAGGGGGCUAGCGUUGUUCGAAUUUACUGGGCGUAAAGCGCACGUAGGCGGACUAUUAAGUCAGGGGUGAAAUCCCGGGGCUCAACCCCGGAACUGCCUUUGAUACUGGUAGUCUUGAGUUCGAGAGAGGUGAGUGGAAUUCCGAGUGUAGAGGUGAAAUUCGUAGAUAUUCGGAGGAACACCAGUGGCGAAGGCGGCUCACUGGCUCGAUACUGACGCUGAGGUGCGAAAGCGUGGGGAGCAAACAGGAUUAGAAACCCUGGUAGUCCCA
Molecule: ribosomal RNA, 448 nt
Filed under: uncultured organism
Description: partial 16S ribosomal RNA
Rfam family: Bacterial small subunit ribosomal RNA
Source: RNAcentral